This 306-nucleotide long non-coding RNA is filed under the name Rattus norvegicus (Norway rat). Its description in RNAcentral is "long non-coding RNA NONRATT031068". The record is from RNAcentral. Lineage: Eukaryota; Metazoa; Chordata; Mammalia; Rodentia; Muridae.
GGACAUGAUCCUGGCCUUCGCCUGUGGACUGGGCCUCUUCCACCUGUGGAUACAUUUCUUCCCACUCACCUCACCCUCACCUGCAGAGGGCGCCUCCACCACCACCAAAAGGGUGGUGAAGAGGGACCACAACAAGGCCAGGAAGAAAAUCAGGACCUUGAAAGGUAGAGGCUGAUGAUGCUGGAUCAGAUGAUGGAGCGAUCCACUGAGGAAACAGUGUCAUAUCCAGCUGCCCGAGAGCCAAUGAAACGCUGGGACGUGAUUAUAAGGGUUUGCCCAGUUCCUCUAAUAAACCAGUGUACUUUU